RNAcentral lists this ribosomal RNA (301 nucleotides) under uncultured bacterium. Its description in RNAcentral is "partial 16S ribosomal RNA". It matches the Rfam family "Bacterial small subunit ribosomal RNA", at positions 509 to 807 of the family's 1533-position model. The record is from RNAcentral.
CAGUAGCCGCGGUAAUACGGAGGGUGCAAGCGUUAAUCGUAAUUACUGGGCGUAAAGCGCACGCAGGCGGUCUGACAAGUCAGAUGUGAAAUCCCCGGGCUUAACCUGGGAACUGCAUUUGAAACUGUCAGGCUGGAGUCUUGUAGAGGGGGGUGGAAUUCCAGGUGUAGCGGUGAAAUGCGUAGAGAUCUGGAGGAAUACCGGUGGCGAAGGCGGCCCCCUGGACAAAGACUGACGCUCAGGUGCGAAAGCGUGGGGAGCAAACAGGAUUAGAUACCCGAGUAGUCCCUGUCUCUUAUAC